RNAcentral lists this transfer RNA (68 nucleotides) under Verrucomicrobiales bacterium. RNAcentral describes it as "tRNA-Trp". It matches the Rfam family "tRNA". Rfam says of the family: Transfer RNA (tRNA) molecules are approximately 80 nucleotides in length. Their secondary structure includes four short double-helical elements and three loops (D, anti-codon, and T loops). Lineage: Bacteria; Pseudomonadati; Verrucomicrobiota; Verrucomicrobiia; Verrucomicrobiales. The record is from RNAcentral.
CGCAGUAGCUCAAUGGUAGAGCAGCGGUCCCAAAGCCGUUGGUUGUGGGUUCGAAUCCCACUUUGCAA